This 399-nucleotide ribosomal RNA is filed under the name Pedinellales sp. RNAcentral's name for it is "partial small subunit ribosomal RNA". It matches the Rfam family "Eukaryotic small subunit ribosomal RNA", at positions 582 to 975 of the family's 1831-position model. The record is from RNAcentral. Lineage: Eukaryota; Dictyochophyceae; Pedinellales.
AUUCCAGCUCCAAUAGCGUAUAUUAAUGUUGUUGCAGUUAAAAAGCUCGUAGUUGGAUUUCUGGUCGGAACGCCGGUCCGGCUCCGCAAGGGGUCGUGUAUUGGUUUCUCCUGCCAUCCUCAGGGGGAGCUGCGCUGGUAUUCAUUUAUCGGCGUGGUUACGCCUGCCGUUUACUGUGAACAAAUUAGAGUGUUCAAAGCAAGGUGUACUUGAAUACAUUAGCAUGGAAUAAUAAGAUAGGACUUUGGUGGUUCUUUUUGAUAUUUUGUUGGUUUGCACGCCAAAGUAAUGAUUAAUAGGAGCAGUUGGGGGUAUUCGUAUUCAAUUGUCAGAGGUGAAAUUCUUGGAUUUAUAGAAGACGAACUACUGCGAAAGCAUUUACCAAGGAUGUUUUCAUCG